This 433-nucleotide ribosomal RNA is filed under the name uncultured bacterium. RNAcentral's name for it is "partial 16S ribosomal RNA". It matches the Rfam family "Bacterial small subunit ribosomal RNA", at positions 29 to 507 of the family's 1533-position model. The record is from RNAcentral.
AACGAACGCUGGCGGCAUGCCUAACACAUGCAAGUCGAACGAGACCUUCGGGUCUAGUGGCGCACGGGUGCGUAACGCGUGGGAACCUGCCCUUAGGUUCGGAAUAACUCCCCGAAAGGGGUGCUAAUACCGGAUAAUGUCUUCGGACCAAAGAUUUAUCGCCUUUGGAUGGGCCCGCGUUGGAUUAGCUAGUUGGUAGGGUAAAAGCCUACCAAGGCGACGAUCCAUAGCUGGUCUGAGAGGAUGAUCAGCCACACUGGGACUGAGACACGGCCCAGACUCCUACGGGAGGGAGGAGUGGGGAAUAUUGGACAAUGGGCGAAAGCCUGAGCCAGCAAUGCCGCGUGAGUGAUGAAGGCCUUAGGGUUGUAAAGCUCUUUUACCCGGGAUGAUAAUGACAGUACCGGGAGAAUAAGCUCCGGCUAACUACGUG